This 540-nucleotide ribosomal RNA is filed under the name uncultured bacterium. Its description in RNAcentral is "bacterial SSU rRNA". It matches the Rfam family "Bacterial small subunit ribosomal RNA", at positions 38 to 572 of the family's 1533-position model. The record is from RNAcentral.
GGCGGGUGCCUAACACAUGCAAGUCGAGCGGUAACAGGUGUAGCAAUACAUGCUGACGAGCGGCGAACGGGUGAGUAAUGCUUCGGAAUCUGCCCAAUGGUGGGGAAUAACCAGCCGAAAGGUUGGCUAAUACCGCAUAAGUCCUACGGGGGAAAGCAGGGGAUCGUAAGACCUUGCGCCGAUGGAUGAGCCGAAGUCGGAUUAGCUAGUUGGUAGGGUAACGGCCUACCAAGGCGACGAUCCGUAGCUGGUCUGAGAGGACGACCAGCCACACUGGGACUGAGACACGGCCCAGACUCCUACGGGAGGCAGCAGUGGGGAAUAUUGGACAAUGGGGGAAACCCUGAUCCAGCGACGCCGCGUGUGUGAAGAAGGCCUGCGGGUUGUAAAGCACUUUUAGUGGGGAUGAAAAGCUCAGGGCUAACACCUCUGGGUCUUGACCUAACCCAAAGAAAAAGCACCGGCUAACUCUGUGCCAGCAGCCGCGGUAAUACAGAGGGUGCGAGCGUUAAUCGGAAUUACUGGGCGCUAAGCGUGCGU